UACGAAGGGGGCUAGCGUUGUUCGGAUUUACUGGGCGUAAAGGGCGCGUAGGCGGUGCAAUAAGUCAGGCGUGAAAGCCCCGGGCUCAACCCGGGAAUUGCGCUUGAUACUGUUGCGCUUGAAUCCAGGAGAGGAUGGCGGAAUUCCCAGUGUAGAGGUGAAAUUCGUAGAUAUUGGGAAGAACACCAGUGGCGAAGGCGGCCAUCUGGCCUGGAAUUGACGCUGAGGCGCGAAAGCGUGGGGAGCAAAC
Molecule: ribosomal RNA, 250 nt
Filed under: uncultured bacterium
Lineage: Bacteria
Description: partial 16S ribosomal RNA
Rfam family: Bacterial small subunit ribosomal RNA
Source: RNAcentral